UUUACCUGGUUGAUCCUGCCAGUAGUCAUAUGCUUGUCUCAAAGAUUAAGCCAUGCAUGUCUAAGUACAGGCCGAACCAAGGCGAAACCGCGAAUGGCUCAUUAAAUCAGUUAUGGUUCAUUGGAUCUUACCUUGUUUUACUUGGAUAACUGUGGUAAUUCUAGAGCUAAUACGUGACACUCCAGCUCCGACCGCAAGGAAAGAGCGCUUUUAUUAGAUCAAAACCAAUCGGGCUUCGGUCCGUUCUCACUGUGGUGACUCUGAAUAACUUUGAGCUGAGCGCAUGGUCUUCGAACCGGCGCCGUAUCCUUCAAGUGUCUGCCUUAUCAGCUUUCGAUUGUAGGUUAUGCGCCUACAAUGGCUAUAACGGGUAACGGGGAAUCAGGGUUCGAUUCCGGAGAGGGAGCCUGAGAAACGGCUACCACAUCUAAGGAAGGCAGCAGGCACGCAAAUUACCCACUCCCGGCUCGGGGAGGUAGUGACGAAAAAUAACGAUGCGGGACUCUUCCGAGGCCUCGCAAUCGGAAUGAGCACACUUUAAAUCCUUUAACGAGGAUCUAUUGGAGGGCAAGUCUGGUGCCAGCAGCCGCGGUAAUUCCAGCUCCAAUAGCGUAUAUUAAAGUUGCUGCGGUUAAAAAGCUCGUAGUUGGAUCUCAGUUCCGGACCGACGGUUCACCGCCCGGUGCUUACUGUCGGCUUCCGAACAGCCGCACGCCGGCUCGGCCAGGGUGCUCUUCAUCGAGUGUCCUGGUUUCGGCCGGCACGUUUACUUUGAAAAAAUUAGAGUGCUCAGCGCAGGCUGCAACGCCUGAAUAAUCUGUGCAUGGAAUAAUGGAAUAGGACCUCGGUUCUAUUUUGUUGGUUUUCGGAACCCGAGGUAAUGAUUAAUAGGAACUGUCGGGGGCAUUCGUAUUGCGACGUUAGAGGUGAAAUUCUUGGAUCGUCGCAAGACGGACUACUGCGAAAGCAUUUGCCAAGAAUGUUUUCAUUAAUCAAGAACGAAAGUUAGAGGUUCGAAGGCGAUCAGAUACCGCCCUAGUUCUAACCAUAAACGAUGCCAACCAGCGAUCCGCCGGCGUUAUUCCCAUGACUCGGCGGGCAGCUUCCGGGAAACCAAAGUCUCUGGGUUCCGGGGGAAGUAUGGUUGCAAAGCUGAAACUUAAAGGAAUUGACGGAAGGGCACCACCAGGAGUGGAGCCUGCGGCUUAAUUUGACUCAACACGGGGAACCUCACCAGGCCCGGACACCGGAAGGAUUGACAGAUUGAGAGCUCUUUCUCGAUUCCGUGGGUGGUGGUGCAUGGCCGUUCUUAGUUGGUGGAGCGAUUUGUCUGGUUAAUUCCGAUAA
Molecule: ribosomal RNA, 1347 nt
Filed under: Iberobathynella sp. 3 ABI-2015
Lineage: Eukaryota; Metazoa; Arthropoda; Malacostraca; Bathynellacea; Parabathynellidae
Description: SSU rRNA
Rfam family: Eukaryotic small subunit ribosomal RNA
Source: RNAcentral